GAUGAACGCUGGCGGCGUGCCUAAUACAUGCAAGUCGAGCGAACAGAUGAGGAGCUUGCUCCUCUGACGUUAGCGGCGGACGGGUGAGUAACACGUGGAUAACCUACCUAUAAGACUGGGAUAACUUCGGGAAACCGGAGCUAAUACCGGAUAAUAUAUUGAACCGCAUGGUUCAAUAGUGAAAGACGGUUUUGCUGUCACUUAUAGAUGGAUCCGCGCCGCAUUAGCUAGUUGGUAAGGUAACGGCUUACCAAGGCAACGAUGCGUAGCCGACCUGAGAGGGUGGUCGGCCACCCUGGAACUGAGGCACGGUCCAGACUCCUACGGGAGGCAGCAGUAGAGAAUCUUCCGCGAGGGGCGAAAGCCUGACGGAGCAACGCCGCGUGAGUGAUGAAGGUCUUCGGAUCGUAAAACUCUGUUAUUAGGGAAGAACAAAUGUGUAAGUAACUAUGCACGUCUUGACGGUACCUAAUCAGAAAGCCACGGCUAACUCCGUG
RNAcentral lists this ribosomal RNA (497 nucleotides) under uncultured bacterium. Its description in RNAcentral is "partial 16S ribosomal RNA". It matches the Rfam family "Bacterial small subunit ribosomal RNA", at positions 28 to 507 of the family's 1533-position model. The record is from RNAcentral.